CAGAGGGUGCAAGCGUUAAUCGGAAUUACUGGGCGUAAAGCGUGCGUAGGCGGUUUCGUAAGUUCGGAUGUGAAAGCCCCGGGCUCAACCUGGGAAUUGCAUUCGAGACUGCGAAGCUCGAGUGCGGAAGAGGGAAGUGGAAUUUCCGGUGUAGCGGUGAAAUGCGUAGAUAUCGGAAGGAACAUCAGUGGCGAAAGCGACUUCCUGGUCCAGCACUGACGCUCAGGCACGAAAGCGUGGGGAGCAA
RNAcentral lists this ribosomal RNA (247 nucleotides) under uncultured bacterium. Its description in RNAcentral is "partial 16S ribosomal RNA". It matches the Rfam family "Bacterial small subunit ribosomal RNA", at positions 526 to 771 of the family's 1533-position model. The record is from RNAcentral.